This 593-nucleotide ribosomal RNA is filed under the name uncultured bacterium. RNAcentral describes it as "partial 16S ribosomal RNA". It matches the Rfam family "Bacterial small subunit ribosomal RNA", at positions 355 to 1375 of the family's 1533-position model. The record is from RNAcentral.
UGGGGAAUUUUGGACAAUGGGCGAAAGCCUGAUCCAGCAAUGCCGCGUGUGUGAAGAAGGCCUUCGGGUUGUAAAGCACUUUUGUCCGGAAAGAAAUCCUUGGCUCUAAUACAGUCGGGGGAUGACGGUACCGGAAGAAUAAGCACCGGCUAACUACGUGCCAGCAGCCGCGGUAAUACGUAGGGUGCAAGCGUUAAUCGGAAUUACUGGGCGUAAGGCGUGCGCAGGCGGUUUGCUAAGACCGAUGUGAAAUCCCCGGGCUCAACCUGGGAACUGCAUUGGUGACUGGCAGGCUAGAGUAUGGCAGAGGGGGGUAGAAUUCCACGUGUAGCAGUGAAAUGCGUAGAGAUGUGGAGGAAUACCGAUGGCGAAAGGCAGCCCCCUGGGCCAAAUACUGACGCUCAUGCACGAAAAGCGUGGGGGAGCAAAACAGGAUUAGAUACCCCUGGGUAGUCCACGCCCUAAAACGAUGUCAACUAGUUGUUGGGGAUUCAUUUCCUUAGUAACGUAGCUAACGCGUGAAGUUGACCGCCUGGGGAGUACGGUCGCAAGAUUAAAACUCAAAUGAAUUGACGGGGUCAUAGCUGUUUCCU